RNAcentral lists this ribosomal RNA (641 nucleotides) under Ficophagus fleckeri. Its description in RNAcentral is "eukaryotic LSU rRNA". It matches the Rfam family "Eukaryotic large subunit ribosomal RNA", at positions 367 to 846 of the family's 3401-position model. The record is from RNAcentral. Lineage: Eukaryota; Metazoa; Nematoda; Chromadorea; Rhabditida; Aphelenchoididae.
AAAAGCACUUUGAAAAGAGAGUGCAAAAGACCGUGAAACCGUUAUAGUGGAAGCAGAUGGAGCCGACGUAUCCAGCGCGUAUUUAGCCAUUGUCGAGCGUGAUUCGCCUGUUAGGGGUUCUGCAAAAGUACCGAGUGGGCGUUGUUGCGUACGGCGAGUGGUGCACUUGCGUGCAGAGUGCGCCGAAUCAAUAGGGCCUGUCGCUCGAGGUUCGUUUGAGAGGACCAAUCUUUUGGGUUUGGAAACCUCGACGAACGGGCAGCGGUCGGGUGCGAUUGCCAUGCUUAAGACGUGCCGAUUCUGAGGUUGUUGCUCAAGUUUGGUGCUGUUCAAAUGGGCGCAUGCGCUAGUUUGGAAGGUAUUGAAGUUGUGCGGCAGUCUCUCGACAUGUAUUCGGUGUGUAGUCGGUGACCCAUUUGACCCGUCUUGAAACACGGACCAAGGAGUUUAAAGUGUGUGCGAGUGAUUGAGUGUAAAAACUUAAAAGCGUAAUGAAAGUAAGACACUUAGUGUCUGUGAUUCGACCCGAACGAGUUUUACUUAAUUGGGGCAGUAUCGACCCAUGACUAGAACAUGUUCUGUUGUGGAGUUUGAGCGCACGCUUUGAGACCCGAAAGAUGGUGAACUAUGCCCGAACAGGA